This 253-nucleotide ribosomal RNA is filed under the name uncultured bacterium. RNAcentral's name for it is "partial 16S ribosomal RNA". It matches the Rfam family "Bacterial small subunit ribosomal RNA", at positions 524 to 776 of the family's 1533-position model. The record is from RNAcentral.
UACGUAGGUGGCAAGCGUUGUCCGGAUUUAUUGGGUUUAAAGGGUGCGUAGGCGGCUCUCUAAGUCGGAUGUGAAAACUCUGGGCUCAACCCAGAGCCUGCAUCCGAAACUGGAGGGCUAGGGUUCUGGAGGGGAAAGCGGAAUUCCUGGUGUAGCGGUGAAAUGCGUAGAUAUCAGGAGGAACACCGGUGGCGAAGGCGGCUUUCUGGACAGAUACCGACGCUGAGGCACGAAAGCUAGGGGAGCAAACAGG